GAUGAACGCUGGCGGCGUGCCUAACACAUGCAAGUCGAGCGAGAAGUUUGAAAAAUGAGUUUCCGAACAAGUGAUUCAAACGGAAAGCGGCGGACGGGUGAGUAACGCGUAGGCAACCUGCCCCGUGCAGAGGGACAGCCUCGGGAAACCGGGAUUAAGACCUCAUGAUAUCGGGUUAUCACAUGGUAAUCCGGUCAAAGAUUUAUCGGCAUGGGAUGGGCCUGCGUCUGAUUAGCUGGUUGGUGGGGUAACGGCCUACCAAGGCGACGAUCAGUAGCAGAACUGAUAGGUUCAUCUGCCACAUUGGAACUGAGACACGGUCCAAACUCCUACGGGAGGCAGCAGUGAGGAAUAUUGCACAAUGGGCGAAAGCCUGAUGCAGCAACGCCGCGUGAGCGAAGAAGGCCUUUGGGUCGUAAAGCUCUGUCCUUGGGGAAGAAACAAAUGACGGUACCCUUGGAGGAAGCCCCGGCUAACUACGUGCCAGCCGCCGCGGUAA
Molecule: ribosomal RNA, 499 nt
Filed under: uncultured bacterium
Lineage: Bacteria
Description: partial 16S ribosomal RNA
Rfam family: Bacterial small subunit ribosomal RNA
Source: RNAcentral